Molecule: ribosomal RNA, 2751 nt
Filed under: hydrothermal vent metagenome
Description: bacterial LSU rRNA
Rfam family: Bacterial large subunit ribosomal RNA
Source: RNAcentral
ACCUCAAUACAAGAAUUAGGUGGUCUAGCCGAACACAGCUGGAAAGCUGGAGCAUAGAAGGUAAAACUCCUGUAGGCGAAAGGCUUACCUAACCUUUGGGGUAUCCCGAGUACCACGGAGCACGUGGAAUUCCGUGGGAAUCUGGCAGGACCACCUGCCAAGGCUAAAUACCCAAUGCGACCGAUAGUGGACUAGUACCGUGAGGGAAAGGUGAAAAGCACCCCGGGAGGGGAGUGAAAUAGAACCUGAAACCAUGUGCCUACAAGCAGUCGGAGCUCUUUUUAGGGUGACGGCGUACUUUUUGCAGAACGGACCGGCGAGUUACGUAGGCGAGCGAGGUUAAGGCUAUUAGGGCUGGAGCCGUAGCGAAAGCGAGUCUUAAAAGGGCGCUAGUUCGUCUACGUAGACCCGAAACCGGGUGAGCUACCCAUGGCCAGAGUGAAGCGUGAGUAAAAUCACGUGGAGGCUCGAACCAACCGUCGUUGAAAAGGCGGUGGAUGAGCUGUGGGUAGGAGUGAAAAGCCAAUCGAACCCGGAGAUAGCUGGUUCUCCCCGAAAUAGCUUUAAGGCUAGCCUUGAGGUAUAGAGUACCGGGGGUAGAGCACUGGAUGGGCUAGGGGCCUUCACCGGUUACCGAACCCAACCAAACUCCGAAUACCGGUACUUGUUGCUCAGGAGUCAGACUAUGGGUGAUAAGGUUCAUAGUCGAGAGGGAAACAGCCCAGACCAACAGCUAAGGUCCCAAAGUGUGACUAAGUGGAGAAGGAUGUGGGGUUGCAUAGACAACCAGGAUGUUGGCUUAGAAGCAGCCAUCAUUUAAAGAGUGCGUAAUAGCUCACUGAUCGAGUCGGCCUGCGCCGAAGAUUUAACGGGGCUAAGCAGUGUACCGAAGCUGCGGAUGCCAUUUAUGGCAUGGUAGAGGAGCGUUCCGUAAGCCUGUGAAGGUGUGUUGUAAAGCAUGCUGGAGGUAUCGGAAGUGCGAAUGCUGACAUGAGUAGCGAUAAAGGGAGUGAAAAGCUCCCUCGCCGGAAGUCCAAGGGUUCCUACGCAACGCUAAUCGACGUAGGGUUAGUCGACCCCUAAGGUGAGGCCGAGAGGCGUAAUCGAUGGGAAACAGGUUAAUAUUCCUGUACCGAUGUUUACUGCGAUGGAGGGACGGAGAAAGCUAAACCAGCUUGCUGAUGGUUGCAAGUUUAAGCGUUUAGGCAGAGAUCUUAGGCAAAUCCGGGAUCUUGAUGCUGAGGCGUAAUGACGAGUCCUCUUUUGGACGAAGUGGUUGAUGCUCUGCUUCCAAGAAAAACUUCUAAGCUUCAGGUAAACACGAUCGUACCCCAAACCAACACAGGUGGACAGGAUGAGAAUUCCAAGGCGCUUGAGAGAACUCGGGUGAAGGAACUAGGCAAAAUGAUACCGUAACUUCGGGAGAAGGUAUGCCCACGCGAGUGGGCCGCAGAGACCAGGUGGCUGCAACUGUUUACUAAAAACAUAGCACUGUGCAAAAUCGAAAGAUGACGUAUACGGUGUGACGCCUGCCCGGUGCCGGAAGGUUAAUUGAUGGGGUUAUCCCACCUCCAGAUUGUUUUUUUACUUGUUAUUUUNGCAAUCUUCGAUUUUUUUGUUCGGUCGUGUACACUAGUACACCUCCCUUUCAAAAAAAGUCUAACCUUGCUCAAAAAUUACUGCGUAAAGCAGCAAGUAAUGAGAAUAAUGUGGUGGUGGGAGAAGCUCUUGAUCGAAGCCCCGGUAAACGGCGGCCGUAACUAUAACGGUCCUAAGGUAGCGAAAUUCCUUGUCGGGUAAGUUCCGACCUGCACGAAUGGCGUAACGAUGGCCACACUGUCUCCACCCGAGACUCAGCGAAAUUGAAAUCGCAGUUAAGAUGCUGCGUCCCCGCGGCUAGACGGAAAGACCCCGUGAACCUUUACUACAGCUUUGCACUGGACUUUGAUACUAUCUGUGUAGGAUAGGUGGGAGGCUUUGAAACUUUAUCGCUAGAUAGAGUGGAGCCGAUCUUGAAAUACCACCCUGAUAUUAUUGAGGUUCUAACCUCGGCCGCUGAAUCGUGGUCAGGGACAGUGUAUGGUGGGUAGUUUGACUGGGGCGGUCUCCUCCUAAAGAGUAACGGAGGAGCGCGAAGUUACCCUCAGCACGGUCGGACAUCGUGCAAUGAGUGCAAGAGUAUAAGGGUGAUUGACUGCGAGACAGACACGUCGAGCAGGUACGAAAGUAGGUUCUAGUGAUCCGGUGGUUCUGUGUGGAAGGGCCAUCGCUCAACGGAUAAAAGGUACUCCGGGGAUAACAGGCUGAUACCGCCCAAGAGUUCAUAUCGACGGCGGUGUUUGGCACCUCGAUGUCGGCUCAUCACAUCCUGGGGCUGAAGUCGGUCCCAAGGGUAUGGCUGUUCGCCAUUUAAAGUGGUACGCGAGCUGGGUUUAGAACGUCGUGAGACAGUUCGGUCCCUAUCUGCCGUGGGCGUUGGAGAAUUGAGGGGGGCUGCUCCUAGUACGAGAGGACCGGAGUGGACGAACCGCUGGUGUUCCUGUUGUCUCGCCAGAGGCAUUGCAGGGUAGCUACGUUCGGGAGGGAUAACCGCUGAAAGCAUCUAAGCGGGAAACCUGCCCCAAGAUAAGUUCUCCCUAAACUUUAAGUUUUCUAAAGGGCCGUUAAAGACUAUGACGUUGAUAGGCUGGGUGUGGAAGUACAGCAAUGUAUGAAGCUAACCAAUACUAAUUACCCGUGAGGCUUAACUAU